GCGACUGUUUACUAAAAACACAGGUCCGUGCCAAGUCGCAAGACGAUGUAUACGGACUGACGCCUGCCCGGUGCUGGAAGGUUAAGAGGACCGGUUAGCCGCAAGGCGAAGCUGAGAAUUUAAGCCCCAGUAAACGGCGGUGGUAACUAUAACCAUCCUAAGGUAGCGAAAUUCCUUGUCGGGUAAGUUCCGACCUGCACGAAUGGCGUAACGACUUCCCAACUGUCUCAACCGCGAACUCGGCGAAAUUGCAUUACGAGUAAAGAUGCUCGUUACGCGCAGCAGGACGGAAAGACCCCGUGACCUUUACUAUAGCUUUGUAUUGGUGUUCGGUGUGGCUUGUGUAGGAUAGGUGGGAGACUUUGAAGCGGUGACGCCAGUUACCGUGGAGUCAUUGUUGAAAUACCACUCUGGUCACUCUGGAUAUCUAACUUCGAACCGUAAUCCGGUUCAGGGACAGUGCAUGGUGGGUAGUUUAACUGGGGCGGUUGCCUCCCAAAAAGUAACGGAGGCGCCCAAAGGUUCCCUCAACCUGGUUGGCAAUCAGGUGGCGAGUGUAAGUGCACAAGGGAGCUUGACUGUGAGACUGACAGGUCGAGCAGGGACGAAAGUCGGGACUAGUGAUCCGGCAGUGGCUUGUGGAAGCGCUGUCGCUCAACGGAUAAAAGGUACCUCGGGGAUAACAGGCUGAUCUUGCCCAAGAGUCCAUAUCGACGGCAUGGUUUGGCACCUCGAUGUCGGCUCGUCGCAUCCUGGGGCUGGAGUAGGUCCCAAGGGUUGGGCUGUUCGCCCAUUAAAGCGGUACGCGAGCUGGGUUUAGAACGUCGUGAGACAGUUCGGUCCCUAUCCGCUGCGCGCGUAGGAAAUUUGAGAGGAUCUGACCCUAGUAC
Molecule: non-coding RNA, 890 nt
Filed under: Microbacterium oleivorans
Lineage: Bacteria; Bacillati; Actinomycetota; Actinomycetes; Micrococcales; Microbacteriaceae
Description: Bacterial large subunit ribosomal RNA
Rfam family: Bacterial large subunit ribosomal RNA
Source: Rfam by way of RNAcentral